AAUUUUCCCGCAGGGAAUGAAUGAAAUUAGUGAGAUGGAAGGGUGGAUAUUUAUGGAAAGUUGUUCAAUGGAUAGUGUACGACUAUGUAUAUGGUUAUUCAUUAGGGAUCAACUAAAAUGUCUGUGGGAAGAAAUGAGUCAGCUGUACAAGGAUGUUUGUAAAGAUGUGCAUGAAAUAUGCUAUAUGAUAUACAUGUAAUGUAUGAUCGAUCUCUUUUUUCGUCUUUCUCUAUAUUUUCCAUUAUCUUCUUUUUUCAUUCUUUUCUUUUUUCCAUUCUUUUCCUUUUCUUUUUUUUUUCCUUUUCAUUCUUUUCUUUUUUCCAUUCUUUUCCUUUUUUUCUUUUCUUUUUUCCACUCUUUUCCUUUUCAUUCUUUUCUUUUUUUCCAUUCUUACCUCCACUAACAAGUUCUUGGCGUAUAACUAAAGAUUGAAAUAUCCAUGUAGGAUUGCACGACGAUAAAAGAAUCAGGCGUUUGCUAAUGCAAGUACCCGAACAAAAAGAAUAGGAACAAGAUCUUCUACCACAGGCAGAGAGACGUCUUGCAAAAAGGGACGGACAACUCAACUGAGAAAUGACCUCCUCGUGCAAUAGGUAGCAACGACUCCU
This 608-nucleotide long non-coding RNA is filed under the name Lathyrus oleraceus (garden pea). Its description in RNAcentral is "Pisum sativum (pea) long non-coding RNA (PSAT_LNC015124)". The record is from RNAcentral. Lineage: Eukaryota; Viridiplantae; Streptophyta; Magnoliopsida; Fabales; Fabaceae.